RNAcentral lists this ribosomal RNA (497 nucleotides) under uncultured bacterium. RNAcentral's name for it is "partial 16S ribosomal RNA". It matches the Rfam family "Bacterial small subunit ribosomal RNA", at positions 28 to 507 of the family's 1533-position model. The record is from RNAcentral.
GACGAACGCUGGCGGCGUGCCUAAUACAUGCAAGUUGAGCGCUGAAGGUUGGUACUUGUACCAACUGGAUGAGCAGCGAACGGGUGAGUAACGCGUGGGGAAUCUGUCUUUGAGCGGGGGACAACAUUUGGAAACGAAUGCUAAUACCGCAUAAAAACUUUAAACACAAGUUUUAAGUUUGAAAGAUGCAAUUACAUCACUCAAAGAUGAUCCCGCGUUGUAUUAGCUAGUUGGUGAGGUAAAGGCUCACCAAGGCGAUGAUACAUAGCCGACCUGAGAGGGUGAUCGGCCACAUUGGGACUGAGACACGGCCCAAACUCCUACGGGAGGCAGCAGUAGGGAAUCUUCGGCAAUGGACGAAAGUCUGACCGAGCAACGCCGCGUGAGUGAAGAAGGUUUUCGGAUCGUAAAACUCUGUUGGUAGAGAAGAACGUUGGUGAGAGUGGAAAGCUCAUCAAGUGACGGUAACUACCCAGAAAGGGACGGCUAACUACGUG